GUAUUCUACUGUGAGACCCACGUUAGACAGCACUACACAGUACCUAAACUCCAGAGACACAUACUGGUAGAGGUGACUGGUGACCUGGAGGAGAAAAUCUGUCAGAAGCAUCACAGACCUCUGGAGGUGUUCUGCAGGACAGACCAGAUGUUUAUCUGUAGUCUCUGUUCAGCCACAAAGCACGGAGGACAUGAUACAUACCAUGAUCAGAUGAAGAAAUCAGAAAUACAGAGUUUUGAAAGAAACAAAAACCAAAUUCUGACCUCAGACUAUGAGGUCGGUCCUCCUGAGAACAUCCAGGCCCAGUUGCUGACAUCUGACUCUGUGUCUCUGAGCUGGAGUUCUCCUCAGCGGGCCGAAGGACCACAGAAGUUCAGAGUGACCUGGGAAUGUGGUAGGGAGAAAAUCUCCUCAAGAGUGAAAGGAGGUCAUCUUGAAAUCACCAGCCUGAAACCUGGUGAGAAGUACCUGUUCACCGUGGCCACAGAGGGAGAUGAUGGUCAACUAAGCAGAUGUAUUUCUACAUCUUUAACCACAGUGGUCCCACCCAGAGACUUAAAGGUUGAUAAUGUGGAAUCCACCUCCUUCAGUCUCCACUGGACCAAGGGUAAAGGAAUGGAGACAGUCCCACAGCGUUUCCUCAUAUCCUACAGCAGCCCAGGAACCGACCCCCAUGCAGUGAAUACAGAGGGGUGUUACUGGACCUUCUCAAACCUGCAACCUGGCACACAGUACACUGUUGAUGUUGUAACUGUCCUGACCAAUGGGGAAGAGAGUGAACCUGUUUCUAUUACCAUCUGCACAGGUA
Long non-coding RNA from Esox lucius (northern pike), 808 nucleotides. The record is from Ensembl. Lineage: Eukaryota; Metazoa; Chordata; Actinopteri; Esociformes; Esocidae.